Long non-coding RNA from Lycium barbarum (goji berry), 2866 nucleotides. RefSeq lists it as uncharacterized. The record is from RefSeq and is a predicted model, not a curated record. The transcript is spliced from 3 exons. NCBI's taxonomy places the organism in Eukaryota, Viridiplantae, Streptophyta, Magnoliopsida, Solanales, Solanaceae.
AGCUAAUUUCCAUUCAUUUUCUGGACAAAAACAGUCCCAGAUUCUUUCCAAAACUUCAUCCAACAUCAAGGAAACAUUAAGAUGUGGUAGUUGCUCGUUUUAUGAAAGUUUGGGCAAGAGCGGCUGGUUCCCUUUGUGUUUAAGAAACUGGCUUCAAAGCAAAGAUUGCACAUGGUUAACCAUUUACACUUCAGGUAUAUAUUUCUUCCCUUGCAGUCAAUUAUACAUUCAGAUCAUGAAACAACUUAUACAACCUGUUUUCACUACCCUAGUCAAGAUAAGAUGUCAUUAAGAGUACAUUGAAAAGAGAUAAAGUUGAGUCAUGAUGACCCCUCUGGCCACAAUCAAAUCAUACUUUUCCCAAAAAGAACUUUUCAAAUGCACUAUUCACACUACCUAACCUCCUCCAUACCCCUACUUAAACCAAUCAUAUCUCUCUUCACUCAUCUAAAUCAAUAUUUUUCACUCAUCACAGUUCAUUGUCACAACAAAAAUCCUUUACAAAAUGUCAGACUCUUUUUCCUUCUCCGGUCACUUAUAUUCUCCCAUACACUCUUAUGAUACAACUGACUCUGACUACAUACCCCACUACACUAUUAUCAACCCUCAAUUUCCUCAAAUAACAAUUCAUACACGAUCUGAAAAACCCGAAAAUUAAAGAAAAAUGGACAAAGUCCAUAGACAGGGGGAAACUUCAAAAAACUCCAAAUCCCCGAGUGAUGAAGAAACAACCUUAGACAGUGAGUUUCUAGACUCAGCAAACUCAAGUCAAGGGAAAACUCUGUCCGAUGAAAAGAUGACGACUCAUGGAGGAAAACAAGAAGUAGUACGAAGAAUAAUCCAUCAUCUAUCGGAAAAUAACACAUUUAAAAAGGAUGGGGAGUCCUCAUGGGCAAAACCGGUGGAAAAAGAUGGUGAAUCUUCUUGGGGGAAACCGGUGGAAAAAAAUGGUGGUUCUUCCUAGGAACAAGGGGUUGAUUUAGACGGUGAUGAGGGGAAGAGCACAAAGAAAUACAUAUACUUCCCUUAUAGCCAAGUCACUCAACACCUCCUAGUUAGGAUUUCCUAGAAAUUAGCCUUAGCUUCUACCAUCCACCCUUGUCACAAUCCCUAACAAAGUGACCAGGUUCUCUCUUAUUUUAUCCAUGAAAAAAUCUUAGCAUGCCUAGGUCCUAAGUUUUGCUGGAAUGAUCUGGUUUGUAAGGUUGUAACCAAGGGACUGAAAUUGUGCUUGUUGAAGUUAAUGAAAACAAAACUAUUGCAUAUCUUACAAAUAUGUGCCUUAUUUGUGUGAUUCAAAUGUUUUUUCUUCAAUGAGUAACUAAUUCUGUUAUCUUUUGUAUAUGUGAUAGCCCCAAUAGCCAUGAGUUUAAUAUUGGUAAUGUUUACUUGCCGUAAUCUGAGAUAACUUUUUAAUGAUGCCAAAAGGGGAAAGAUGAUUACCGUGAUUAUGCUUUUUGACUCAUAUACACUAACCUGGUUUACCCUUAAUAGUAGAAUGUGUUGCAAUAUUCAUUUUCUGGGCUAUAAGACGUUUGGAACAGGUUAUAUUACUUGCUUCAAAGGCAUGAGUUUGUCAUCAUCGAAAAGGGGGAAUUUUUUGACAUAAGCAUUUGUGUUUUGAUGAUUGACAAAGUAAAUGAACAAAGAUAGUAAACCAACUUUAGAGACUGUUGAGAUAAAGCGAAUGAACUGUACACAGAAAAAUGAUAGACAAAGCUACUGAACCAGGUUCGGGGACAUGAUUUACUCAAGAGAGUUGCAGACAAACAAAAGACGGACAAGUUCCUACACAGAGACAAGUGCAGUGAAUAGAUCAGAGACAUAUACAGAACAAAAGCAAAUGAGUUAAGUGAAUUAACCAACUCUGUAGAUAUGUUCUCUGUGUGACCAAGUCAGAGACUGUUGUAGGAGAAGAAUGGUGAAUAAAACAGGUUUAUGGACAAUGUUCCAUCUCAGACAGUGAAAAGAUUCAGAGGCGAAAGAAGCAGGUGCUUGAACCAGGUCCAAGAACCUGGUCCAACUCAGAAUCCUACUACGAGUCGGAUAUGUAUUUUAUGGUAAAGACUUGGCGGACAAGUUUGUUGGAUUUAUGGCCAUAAUUAUCAAGAUACUUCAAACUUCUACAAGGACACUGAAGAUGCGUAAAUGCAAGAAUCCCAAGUCAACUCAAACAUUAACUCUCAGUAUGGGCCUUACUUAGUAAAGAUUGAGUUCAACCGACUUGAGGCAAACCUAGAGAUAUAAAUAUUCAAGUCAUACCAUGAAGAAGAUUUGUGCACAUACAAAGUGAGAAAAGCUAUAAUUGAGAGAGUUUUGAUUACUGUAGUGCAACCCUGAUACUGCGAAGAAGAUUAAAGAAGCUGUUCUACAGAGUUUAUAUUUUACAGUUCUUGAGCCUAGAUUUUUGUAUUAGGUUGUUUAUCGAGUUGUACCUUUAUCCGCUUUUAUAGAAGCAUAAAUUAUAGGUAUAAACAGUUAGUCAAAUUCAACUGCAAGUGGGGAUAACUUGAAGUGGGCUCACUAGUCUAGGGAGAUUGGUGAGAUAGGAAUUAGAGUUUAGUUCCUAGGUUACAGAGUUUUUAAAUUGAAUUUGCACAUACUCACAGUUGUAGUGGAGCUUGGGAAAAAUCAUACAGAGGUGUAGGUCAUGAUUUUUUACCCUUGUGAGCUGGGAGGUUUUCACGUAAAAAUUAAUGUGUUCUUUACUUUCCUGUUGUUUACUAUUCCGCAACACCAAGCUUGAAAUAGGUAGAGCAACUCCACCCACGACCGGUAGGUCUUGGGUUCGAGUCACACUGGAGGGGAAGUGUGGAAACACUAUAAAUCCUCCUAAAAUGGGAGGGAAAAAAAAAAAAAAAAAAGG